This is a long non-coding RNA of Equus caballus (horse), 1781 nucleotides long. NCBI's taxonomy places the organism in Eukaryota, Metazoa, Chordata, Mammalia, Perissodactyla, Equidae. The record is from Ensembl.
GGGGCUAUAUAACCACUACGUGGGCCCCACUUCUUCGGUGCCCUUUCUUCCUUCAGGAAGAAAGGCCCUGGGCCAUGGUUCCUCAUAAAGCUUUGUUUAAUUUUCUCUUGCUAUUCUGUCUCAUGUGAAUUUAAUUCGUUCUCCGGCCAGACGAACCCCCAUUUGGGAAGAGGAAAUGUCCUCCUCCCCUACAGUUUUGGCGUAGUCGGCAGGAUGAAAUUUCACUGGCUGGACACUGCUUGCUCCUGGACUGCUGUGGCCGAGAGAUCCUGGACCCCUGACGAGAGCCGGCAAGAGGUAAGAGUUCUUACCACGUCAGUCUCCCGGAUCUCUGCCAGCGGAGUCCAAUGGAAGCAAGAGUGAGGAAUUCAUGGAAAGGACUCUGACACUUACUCUGGAAUACAGGUUUCUGACAAACUUUCAGAUCAUAGAACUGAACUCUGGAUAAGAAAUUACAGAAAUCUCAUGGAGAAACUGAUGACCCCAUAAAACUGCUAACGGAAGAUUAAGAUCAAGAACCGGUUAUGCAGGACUGAAUGAACUGAGGAUGAUUAUAUUUUUUUUUACGACUUUCAUUUGAAAUAUUGUUGAUUUUUUGAUGUUUUGCUUUGUUUUCUCAGAUUCAAGAAAAUCUUUUUCUCUUUUUUCUUGUGCUAACUAUGACUUAGCAAUUUGGUGAAAUUAUACCUUUUUGAGCAAAACUGAAACAUUUAUCUUUUUCUCCCUACCUGAUCCCUCCAGAAUUUGGAAACUCUUUGUGAGUAUGGUUAUUUCAUGGCAAUAUAGUUGUUUGCAUAAGUUCAAUAAGAAUCUGUUCUCCUUAUAACAGGACACAUUGGUUGUAUUACCAAGGCUUUGACUGGAAUGUCAUAUUUGAGAGAAACAUACAGACUCGGAUAUGACAAUACUGCCUUUGAGGAAUAAGGUUGACUUUCUGGAAAUAAGCCACUUGGAAAUAUGGGCCUGGUACCUUGUUUACAGAGAUUCUGGCAAUCUUACCUGGUAAGCAAGGAAGCUUGAUUAUCUGUCAGAUGUAAGGAACCUCGGAAUAUUUUGGGGGACCUCAAGAAGAGAGGAGUCCACCCAAAUCUGUAGGUACUGCAGGCAAAACCUGACAGCAAGUCCUUGGCUUGGCUUUUCUGGCCUCGAGAGGCCUUUACAGUUCAAUCUGAGAUUCCUCAUAAAAAAAUUCCAGCAAAGCAAAUUUAAGAGCCUAUAUGAUCAACUGCUAUUCUUGCUGCACUUCUGUAAAUAAUUGGGCCAAGUUUCUUGAAACUAAACUUAUUUUGCAAACCAAUUAGUCUUAAUUUUGCUAUCUUUGGUAAAAAAAUGAGGGUGAUUUUAGAGAGAAGAACUAUGUUUCAGUGAAAAACUAUAAUACACAUUUGUGUAUGUUGGAUCCUAGUUUUGUUAAUUGUCUUUGAGUUUUUUUUUUCUACCUGUGAACUGGAUUGGAUCCUGAAUUAUUCUACUGAAAUAUCUGGUUACAAAUCUCCAAACUAAUGUUUUCAAUUUUUUUACCUCAUUUUCAUUUGGAAUCAUUGAGAAUUGAACCUGCUCUUUUUCCUGAAGCCUUGCAAACUGAAGCUGAACGGCUUGAUAGAAACUUGAGAGAUUCCUGUCUGUUGCUGUGUAAGCUGUAAGCCACUCAGAAAGAUACCUGAAUGCCCGAUGACAUCACCAGAGACAUUUCAAGCUGCUAAAGAUGCUUCACUCUGACAUCUAGAAGUCUUCUUGACUGACUGCAUGCUGGACUCGGGAACUAGUUUAUAAUUUGCUCC